RNAcentral lists this ribosomal RNA (497 nucleotides) under uncultured bacterium. RNAcentral describes it as "partial 16S ribosomal RNA". It matches the Rfam family "Bacterial small subunit ribosomal RNA", at positions 28 to 507 of the family's 1533-position model. The record is from RNAcentral.
GAUGAACGCUGGCGGCGUGCCUAAUACAUGCAAGUCGAGCGAACAGACGAGGAGCUUGCGCCUCUGACGUUAGCGGCGGACGGGUGAUUAACACGUGGAUAACCUACCUAUAAGACUGGGAUAACUUCGGGAAACCGGAGCUAAUACCGGAUAAUAUAUUGAACCGCAUGGUUCAAGAGUUAAAGACGGUUUUGCUGUCACUUAUAGAUGGAUCAGCGCCGCAUUAGCUAGUUGGGAAGGUAACGGCUUACCAAGGCGACGAUGCGUAGCCGACCUGAGAGGGUGAUAGGCCACACUGGAACUGAGACAAGGUCCAGACUCCUACGGGAGGCAGCAGUAGGGAAUCUUCCGCAAUGGGCGAAAGCCUGACGGAGCAACGCCGCGUGAGUGAUGAAGGUCUUCGGAUCGUAAAACUCUGUUAUUAGGGAAGAACAAAUGUGUAAGUACCUAUGCACGUCUUGACGGUACCUAAUCAGAAAGCCACGGCUAACUACGUG